Molecule: ribosomal RNA, 586 nt
Filed under: uncultured bacterium
Lineage: Bacteria
Description: bacterial SSU rRNA
Rfam family: Bacterial small subunit ribosomal RNA
Source: RNAcentral
CCUACGGGAGGCAGCAGUGGGGAAUUUUGGACAAUGGGGGCAACCCUGAUCCAGCCAUGCCGCGUGAGUGAAGAAGGCCUUCGGGUUGUAAAGCUCUUUCGGCCGGGAAAAAAUCGCAUGGGUUAAUACCCUGUGUGGAUGAUGGUACCGGAAUAAGAAGCACCGGCUAACUACGUGCCAGCAGCCGCGGUAAUACGUAGGGUGCGAGCGUUAAUCGGAAUUACUGGGCGUAAAGCGUGCGCAGGCGGUUUGAUAAGACAGGCGUGAAAUCCCCGGGCUCAACCUGGGAACUGCGUUUGUGACUGUCUCACUAGAGUACGGCAGAGGGGGGUGGAAUUCCACGUGUAGCAGUGAAAUGCGUAGAGAUGUGGAGGAACACCAAUGGCGAAGGCAGCCCCCUGGGUCGAUACUGACGCUCAUGCACGAAAGCGUGGGUAGCAAACAGGAUUAGAUACCCUGGUAGUCCACGCCCUAAACGAUGUCAACUAGGUGUUGGGUGGGUAAAACCNUUUAGUACCGUAGCUAACGCGAGAAGUUGACCGCCUGGGGAUUACGGCCGCAAGGUUAAAACUCAAAGGAUUGACGG